UACGUAGGGUCCGAGCGUUGUCCGGAAUUAUUGGGCGUAAAGAGCUCGUAGGCGGUAUGUCGCGUCUGCUGUGAAAGACCGGGGCUUAACUUCGGUUUUGCAGUGGAUACGGGCAUGCUUGAGGUAGGUAGGGGAGACUGGAAUUCCUGGUGUAGCGGUGAAAUGCGCAGAUAUCAGGAGGAACACCGGUGGCGAAGGCGGGUCUCUGGGCCUUACCUGACGCUGAGGAGCGAAAGCAUGGGUAGCCAACAGGAUUAGAUACCCCUGUAGU
This 271-nucleotide ribosomal RNA is filed under the name uncultured prokaryote. RNAcentral's name for it is "partial 16S ribosomal RNA". It matches the Rfam family "Bacterial small subunit ribosomal RNA", at positions 524 to 794 of the family's 1533-position model. The record is from RNAcentral.